CUACGGGCGGCACCAGUGGGGAAUAUUGCACAAUGGGGGAAACCCUGAUGCAGCAACGCCGCGUGGAGGAUGACACAUUUCGGUGCGUAAACUCCUUUUAUAUAAGAAGAUAAUGACGGUAUUAUAUGAAUAAGCACCGGCUAACUCCGUGCCAGCAGCCGCGGUAAUACGGGAGGGUGCAAGCGUUAUUCGGAAUCACUGGGCGUAAAGGGUGCGUAGGCGGUUUGGAAAGUCAGGUGUGAAAGCCCGGGGCUCAACUCCGGAACUGCACUUGAAACUUCCAGACUAGAAUACUGAAGGGGCAGAUGGAAUUAGUGGUGUAGGGGUAAAAUCCGUAGAUAUCACUAGGAAUACCGAAAGCGAAAGCGAUCUGCUGGGAAGUUAUUGACGCUGAGGCACGAAAGCGUGGGGAGCAAACAGGAUUAGAUACCCGUGUAGUC
Molecule: ribosomal RNA, 440 nt
Filed under: uncultured bacterium
Lineage: Bacteria
Description: partial 16S ribosomal RNA
Rfam family: Bacterial small subunit ribosomal RNA
Source: RNAcentral